Sinocyclocheilus rhinocerous is the source of this 225-nucleotide long non-coding RNA. RefSeq lists it as uncharacterized. The record is from RefSeq and is a predicted model, not a curated record. The transcript has 3 exons. NCBI's taxonomy places the organism in Eukaryota, Metazoa, Chordata, Actinopteri, Cypriniformes, Cyprinidae.
GCUUCUGUUUGCAAUGGAGCAAGGCACUGAAACCUUAAGAGUGAAGAACCUUAACACACUUAGUCCUUCAGUAAGUGGUGAAAGUCCUGCAUCAACUUCUGUCUCACAGAGACAAACAAAAAAAGGAAGACCGAAGAGAGGUGGAUGAAGACGGAUGUUCUGACCUCUUGUCCCCUCAGAAAGCAGCUGAACAAUGCAGUGAGGAUGGGGGUUCAGAUGUAGUAG